RNAcentral lists this ribosomal RNA (450 nucleotides) under uncultured Glomeromycotina. Its description in RNAcentral is "SSU rRNA". It matches the Rfam family "Eukaryotic small subunit ribosomal RNA", at positions 569 to 1023 of the family's 1831-position model. The record is from RNAcentral. Lineage: Eukaryota; Fungi; Glomeromycota.
AGCAGCCGCGGUAAUUCCAGCUCCAAUAGCGUAUAUUAAAGUUGUUGCAGUUAAAAAGCUCGUAGUUGAAUUUCGGGGUCAGUUCGCUGGUCGUGCCUUCGGUAUGUACUGGUGUUACUGACUCCUACCUUCUGACGAACCGUCAUGUCAUUAAUUUGGUGUGGCGGGAAAUCAGGACUGUUACUUUGAAAAAAUUAGAGUGUUUAAAGCAGGCUCGCGCUUGAAUACAUUAGCAUGGAAUAAUGAAAUAGGACGUUCGAUCCUAUUUUGUUGGUUUCUAGGAUUGACGUAAUGAUUAAUAGGGAUAGUUGGGGGCAUUAGUAUUCAAUUGUCAGAGGUGAAAUUCUUGGAUUUAUUGAAGACUAACUACUGCGAAAGCAUUUGCCAAGGAUGUUUUCAUUAAUCAAGAACGAAAGUUAGGGGAUCGAAGACGAUCAGAUACCGUCGUAG